This 460-nucleotide ribosomal RNA is filed under the name uncultured bacterium. RNAcentral's name for it is "partial 16S ribosomal RNA". It matches the Rfam family "Bacterial small subunit ribosomal RNA", at positions 338 to 795 of the family's 1533-position model. The record is from RNAcentral.
CCUACGGGUGGCAGCAGUGAGGAAUAUUGGUCAAUGGACGAGAGUCUGAACCAGCCAAGUAGCGUGAAGGAUGACUGCCCUAUGGGUUGUAAACUUCUUUUAUAUGGGAAUAAAAUGUUCCACGUGUGGGAUUUUGUAUGUACCAUAUGAAUAAGGAUCGGCUAACUCCGUGCCAGCAGCCGCGGUAAUACGGAGGAUCCGAGCGUUAUCCGGAUUUAUUGGGUUUAAAGGGAGCGUAGGGGGAUUGUUAAGUCAGUUGUGAAAGUUUGGGGCUCAACCGUAAAAGUGCAGUUGAAACUGGCAGUCUUGAGUACAGGAGAGGUGGGCGGAAUUCGUGGUGUAGCGGUGAAAUGCUUAGAUAUCACGAAGAACUCCGAUUGCGAAGGCAGUUCACUGGACUGCAACUGACACUGAGGCUCGAAAGUGUGGGUAUCAAACAGGAUUAGAUACCCGGGUAGUC